Molecule: long non-coding RNA, 446 nt
Organism: Poeciliopsis prolifica (blackstripe livebearer)
Lineage: Eukaryota; Metazoa; Chordata; Actinopteri; Cyprinodontiformes; Poeciliidae
Exons: 3
Source: RefSeq, a predicted model, not a curated record
AAGCAUCAUAGGCAUCAUAGCCAUAAAGGCAUCAUAGGCAUCAUAAGCAUCAUAGGCAUCAUAGCCAUAAAGGCAUCAUAGGCAUCAUAAGCAUCAUAGGCAUCACAGCCAUCAUAGACAUCAUAGGCAUCAUAGCCAUCAUAGGCAUCCCCACGUACUGUAGCUCAGAUGAAAUUCCCUCAACUCUCUGCCCCUCAUCAUGACCAACCUGCUCUUGCUGGUUAAAGUAAACAGCCACCUGGUGUCUUUUCAGGGAACAGCGUUCGCCUUCUUCUCAGCACUGGGUCCCGCUGUCACCUUAUCCUUCUGGGGUCUGCUGGUCUGGAUAGUUGUUCCUUUGAGGAAGGCCUGCAUGAUUCCUUCAGAUUUUCAGACCGGACAGAAGAUGUAAUACGCUGUUGGCUUUAAAACAACGACCUGACACAGAAGCAGUUUCUGAGCUAAAA